GAAUAUUGGACAAUGGGGGCAACCCUGAUCCAGCCAUGCCGCGUGUGUGAAGAAGGCCUUUUGGUUGUAAAGCCCUUUAUGCAGUGAAGAAGACUCCAUGGUUAAUACCCAUGGACGAUGACAUUAGCUGCAGAAUAAGCACCGGCUAACUAUGUGCCAGGAGCCGCGGUAAUACAGAGGGUGCAAGGGUUAAUCGGAAUUACUUGGCGUAAAGCGAGCGUAGGUGGCUUGAUAAGUCAGAUGUGAAAUCCCCGGGCUUAACCUGGGAACUGCAUCUGAUACUGUUAGGCUAGAAUAGGUGAGAGGAAGGUAGAAUUCCAGGUGUAGCGGUGAAAUGCGUAGAGAUCUGGAGGAAUACCGAUGGCGAAGGCAGCCUUCUGGCAUCAUAUUGACACUGAGGCUCGAAAGCGUGGGGAGCAAACAGG
RNAcentral lists this ribosomal RNA (425 nucleotides) under uncultured bacterium. RNAcentral describes it as "bacterial SSU rRNA". It matches the Rfam family "Bacterial small subunit ribosomal RNA", at positions 359 to 776 of the family's 1533-position model. The record is from RNAcentral.